This 270-nucleotide long non-coding RNA is filed under the name Elaeis guineensis (African oil palm). Its description in RNAcentral is "long non-coding RNA (EGUI_LNC074326)". The record is from RNAcentral. Lineage: Eukaryota; Viridiplantae; Streptophyta; Magnoliopsida; Arecales; Arecaceae.
CCAAACAUGGCAAGAUAAGGGGCGCCCAACUCUUGAGCACCACCUCCUUAUUUUUGUGUAUGGAUCACUAGCAAAGGGUUCAUAAUAUGUACCCUAAAAUCCAUGAAAAUUCCAAAAAAAAUUUGGAUAAAUUCAGUGCAAAAUUGAAAGAGUUUUGGAUUUCUAAAACUCUAUCUCAUAGAAUUUGAAAUCCAAACUUAUUCCUCUUUGAUUUGAUCCAAACCACCUUCCAUGUAAGAAAGAAGAGAGGAAACCUUUUGUGAACGUGGG